CCUGUACCGAUACAUGAAUGAUGGAGUGACGGAGAAGGUUAUUGCAGCCCGGUUAUCGGAUUCCGGGUUAAGUGUCAAGUCUUGCAAGUUGGCAAAUCCGCUUGCUAUAAUGGUGAGGCACGAAUACGAGUGAACCCGCAAGGUAGUAGCGAAGCUGCAUAUAUCAUGCUUCCAAGAAAAGCUUCUAGUUUAUCAUUGUAUCGACCGUACCGAGAACGAACACACGUGGUCAAGGAGAGUAUCCUAAGGCUAGCGAGUUAACUAUUGUUAAGGAACUCUGCAAAUUAAUCCCGUAAGUUCGCGAGAAGGGAUGCUCAUUAAUUUGAGCCGCAGUGAAGAGCGAGGGGGAACUGUUUAACAAAAACACAGCUCUAUGCUAAAUCGUAAGAUGAUGUAUAUGGGGUGACACCUGCCCAGUGCCGGAAGGUUAAGGAAGGAUGUUAG
This 444-nucleotide ribosomal RNA is filed under the name Malacoplasma iowae 695. RNAcentral's name for it is "bacterial LSU rRNA". It matches the Rfam family "Bacterial large subunit ribosomal RNA", at positions 1438 to 1893 of the family's 2925-position model. The record is from RNAcentral. Lineage: Bacteria; Bacillati; Mycoplasmatota; Mycoplasmoidales; Mycoplasmoidaceae.